Long non-coding RNA from Etheostoma spectabile (orangethroat darter), 89 nucleotides. RefSeq lists it as uncharacterized. The transcript is spliced from 4 exons. Lineage: Eukaryota; Metazoa; Chordata; Actinopteri; Perciformes; Percidae. The record is from RefSeq and is a predicted model, not a curated record.
CUGCGGAAAAAAAGUGCUUUCACUCAGGACUUUUUUGAAAACACGGUUUACUCCUUGAGAUUAUAAUGUAAAACGGAUGCCGGCAGGUU